GAUGAACGCUAGCGGUAUGCUUAACACAUGCAAGUCGUACGAGAGUUUUUAACUCAAGUGGCGGACGGGUGAGUAACACGUGAGAAUUUACCUUUAGGAGGGGGAUAACAAUUGGAAACGAUUGCUAAUACCCCAUAUGCUUUUUUAAGUGAAAUGGAUUUUUCCGCCUAAAGAAAAGCUCGCGGCUGAUUAGCUAGUUGGUAAGGUAAUGGCUUACCAAGGCGACGAUCAGUAUCUGGUUUGAGAGGACGAUCAGACACACUGGAACUGAGACACGGUCCAGACUCCUACGGGAGGCAGCAGUGGGGAAUUUUCCGCAAUGGGCGAAAGCCUGACGGAGCAAUACCGCGUGAGGGAAGACAGCCUACUGGGUUGUAAACCUCUUUUUUCAGGGAGGAAAAAAAUGACGUGUACCUGAAGAAUAAGCAUCGGCUAACUCCGUGCCAGCAGCCGCGGUAAGACGGAGGAUGCAAGUGUUAUCCGGAAUUACUGGGCGUAAAGCGUCUGUAGGUUGUUUAAUAAGUCAACUGUUAAAUCUUGAGGCUUAACUUCAAAACAGCAGUCGAAACUAUUAGACUAGAGUAUAGUAGGGGUAAAGGGAAUUUCCAGUGGAGCGGUGAAAUGCGUAGAUAUUGGAAAGAACACCGAUGGCGAAAGCACUUUACUGGGCUAUUACUGACACUCAGAGACGAAAGCUAGGGUAGCAAAUGGGAUUAGAUACCCCAGUAGUCCUAGCUGUAAACAAUGGAUACUAGAUGUUGAACAGAUCGACCUGUGCAGUAUUAAAGCUAACGCGUUAAGUAUCCCGCCUGGGAAGUAU
Molecule: ribosomal RNA, 820 nt
Filed under: uncultured bacterium
Lineage: Bacteria
Description: bacterial SSU rRNA
Rfam family: Bacterial small subunit ribosomal RNA
Source: RNAcentral